This 435-nucleotide ribosomal RNA is filed under the name Triticum aestivum (bread wheat). Its description in RNAcentral is "partial small subunit ribosomal RNA". The record is from RNAcentral. Lineage: Eukaryota; Viridiplantae; Streptophyta; Magnoliopsida; Poales; Poaceae.
UUUAGGACAAAGGCUGGGAUGACAUCCGCUGCAGAAAGUAUUACUGAGAGCCUCCGUAGGUCUCGGCAGUUGAUGGUUCAGGAAGUGGAAAGAAGUGCUAAUACCUUGUCAACUUUUGAUGAAUCGACAAGUGUUCUCCGAAAGGCUGAAGGUGAAUAUCAAGGACACCGCUCUUUGCUGAUGCGCACCCGUGGUUUGCUCUCCACGAUGCAACGGCAAGAUGUUCUUGAUAGGAUCAUCCUGACUGUUGGGUUCCUCAUAUUCUCCUUGGCGGUUCUGUAUGUUGUCUCGAGACGUAUUGGCCUGUUGACACUGCAAAGGAAGCUGGCUGAUGCCAUAAGAUCGGGUUCAAUAUCAGCUGGAGACAUGCUGGGUAAAGUGCCCCAAGAUGGACCUGCCCCAACAAAUGCUCCUCCCAUCUAUGAUGAACUGUGA